CGCCACCACCACCUCCUCCUCCUCUGGCCUCCGCCUCGCGCCGCAGAUUGGAAGCAAGAGAGAGAAAGCCUUGUUUUUUUUUCUCUCUCUGGUCUUUUUUUCUCUCCUUACCUGCUGUUUUUGUAUUCUAUUGGCAAACUCCAACUGUGAUGAGAUGAGAGAGAAAGGUGAGGAGGAAGAAGAAGAAGAAGAGAGAGAGAGAGAGCAGGAGGAGGUGGU
This 219-nucleotide long non-coding RNA is filed under the name Oryza brachyantha (malo sina). RNAcentral's name for it is "long non-coding RNA (OBRA_LNC002919)". The record is from RNAcentral. Lineage: Eukaryota; Viridiplantae; Streptophyta; Magnoliopsida; Poales; Poaceae.